UUUUUUCCAAAUGCAAUGCUGAACUCUAGAUUGGAAGGUGAAAAACAAAACAGAGAAAAACUACAGCCACAGAUCCAUUACCCUUCUUGUGCAAGUUCUGCUGUGCUUGAACAGGAAUAUCAGAUAUCAGAACCAAAUCUUCUGCAAGAAGAAGCUAAGUGGCUUCUUUCAAAGGAGGAGCUAAUAGAUAAGAUUGACAUCCUGUCAAUUCAGCUUUCUAAAGCUGAAGAUGAGAUCUACCAAAUACGUAAUGAUCUUCGAAUGAAGACAUUACUUUUAGAAGACACACAGAGAGAAUUGAAAGAGGUCAAAGAUGAGUUAAAGGACCUCAAAAAUGAAAAUUACAUACUAAAGAAAAAAUUGAAUAGAUCCUUUUUGAAACAAGAGACCCUGCAAGGAAAAUUAAAUGAAAUACAGAAGACAAUGAAGCUGCCUCAGAAAACAUUGAAAGAUUCCAAAAACACACCGGUCUUCAUAUCAAAGGGUGUACAGGUGCCCUUUCAGGAUACCUCUAUGACUUUUUAUGCUGACACUGCAGAAAAAGAUCCUGUACUAGAAGAGAGAAAUAAAGAGUCAGUUGAUGACAUACGUGAACUCGAAAAUGAGAAGGCAAAAAGAAAGGAUACAAUAAGAAAACUUCAACAAGAACUUAAAGAUUCCCAAAAGGAAAAACUCAUGAUUUUACAGGACAUUCUCUCAUAUCAAACAAAAUUUUUAUACAUCAAGCAAAAACUUCAGGAGAAAGUAGAUGAAAGCACAAAUAACCUGCAGAAAUCUCAAGAAGAGGAUAAGCAGAAACUGUGGUAUCUUAAAAAGAGGGGAGAUUAUAUACAAAAGCUUAAAAUGGAAAGAGCUCCAUUUGAAGAUGCAGAAAAGCAGCAAAUGGACCCAACUGAAAAAUUCCCCAAACAUUUUUUGGAAUUUCUUAUCAAAUAUGCUGUAAAGCUUGAGCAACAAUUGGAUGCAGUAUCUUCAAGAAAUAGAUAUAUGGAAUGUAUGGAUAGACAUCUUCAAGAAGAAGCAAUAGAAAACUUGAAACAGAAACGUGACAGGCUGGAUCUUAAGCAUCAUUUAGAACUACUUAACUACAUUCAAGUAGAACAAUAUGGAGGAGAGAGGCUGAAGAACAAGUAAAAAAAGUCAAUCCAUUAUUAAAGAAAUAUGCUGAAGAGCUUCAACAACAAUUGGAUGCAUUAUCUUCAAGAAAUAGACAUAUGGGAUGUAUGAAUAGACUUCUUCAAGAAGAAGCAGGAGAAAACUUGAAACAGAAACGUGACAGGCUGGAUCUUAAGCAUCAUUUACAACUACUUAACUACAUUCAAGUAGAAUAAUAUGGACCAAAGGUUAAAGAACAAGUGAAGACAGAGGCUGAAGAGCAAGUAAAAAACAUCAAUCCAUUAUUAAAGAUACAGCAGGCGAUG
Sarcophilus harrisii (Tasmanian devil) is the source of this 1421-nucleotide RNA transcript. It is a transcript of the gene named ankyrin repeat domain-containing protein 26-like, with no coding region annotated. The record is from RefSeq and is a predicted model, not a curated record. The transcript is spliced from 7 exons. Lineage: Eukaryota; Metazoa; Chordata; Mammalia; Dasyuromorphia; Dasyuridae.